UAGGGAAUCUUCCGCAAUGGGCGAAAGCCUGACGGAGCAACGCCGCGUGAGUGAUGAAGGUCUUCGGAUCGUAAAACUCUGUUAUUAGGGAAGAACAAAUGUGUAAGUAACUAUGCACGUCUUGACGGUACCUAAUCAGAAAGCCACGGCUAACUACGUGCCAGCAGCCGCGGUAAUACGUAGGUGGCAAGCGUUAUCCGGAAUUAUAGGGCGUAAAGCGCGCGUAGGCGGUUUUUUAAGUCUGAUGUGAAAGCCCACGGCUCAACCGUGGAGGGUCAUUGGAAACUGGAAAACUUGAGUGCAGAAGAGGAAAGUGGAAUUCCAUGUGUAGCGGUGAAAUGCGCAGAGAUAUGGAGGAACACCAGUGGCGAAGGCGACUUUCUGGUCUGUAACUGACGCUGAUGUGCGAAAGCGUGGGGAUCAAACAGG
This 429-nucleotide ribosomal RNA is filed under the name Actinomycetes bacterium. RNAcentral's name for it is "Actinobacteria bacterium partial 16S ribosomal RNA". It matches the Rfam family "Bacterial small subunit ribosomal RNA", at positions 355 to 776 of the family's 1533-position model. The record is from RNAcentral. Lineage: Bacteria; Bacillati; Actinomycetota; Actinomycetes.